AGAUUGAGAUUCUAUAUAACCCACACAAUAUUCACAAUUAACAUUGCUAAUUAAGAAAAUGGCUUCUAAUAACAAGUUUUCAGUGAUUUGGGUGGGUUUUUUGGUUGCUACGCUUCUCCUUGGGAUGGCACUGGCAUCAAAGGAACUCCCUGGGACUACUUUUAACAUUCGUCUAAAUUCUUCUUAUCAAAGAGGUAUACAUCGGGUGGUUUUGAAUGGUCAGAGUUAUCCAGAGGGUGAUCCCGUAGGACACAAUUAUCCUGGACGUGGUCCUGACAAUGGUAAUUAACCGCUUUAGAUGAGUACCCAAACGGUGAACGAAUCAGUAAAAUUCACUGGUAUAUAGCUAGAGCUGGAUAUUCAUGGGGGUUUAGGUCGUAGUCAAGUUGGCACAGCCAUACUUGCUAAAUUCCCACCACAUGCCUCUGUCGAGUUCGAUCCUGGCCAAAGGAACGCAGUACCACCUUAAAAAAAAAAAAAAAAAAAAAAAAAAAAAAAAAAAAAAAAAAAAAAAAAAAAAUGGAAGCUGGAUAUUCAUGUUGUUGCUUUUUAGUAAUUAAAAUAAUUUCCUCGUUCUGCAUAAUAAUUUUUGCAGUUAUUAAUUAAUACUUAUUGUUGU
Long non-coding RNA from Ziziphus jujuba (common jujube), 619 nucleotides. RefSeq lists it as uncharacterized. The transcript has 2 exons. NCBI's taxonomy places the organism in Eukaryota, Viridiplantae, Streptophyta, Magnoliopsida, Rosales, Rhamnaceae. The record is from RefSeq and is a predicted model, not a curated record.